This is a long non-coding RNA of Cervus elaphus (red deer), 743 nucleotides long. RefSeq lists it as uncharacterized. NCBI's taxonomy places the organism in Eukaryota, Metazoa, Chordata, Mammalia, Artiodactyla, Cervidae. The record is from RefSeq and is a predicted model, not a curated record. The transcript has 3 exons.
GAAGGAAAUGGCAAUCCACUCCAGCAUCCUUGCCUGGAGAAUCCCAUGGACAGAGGAGCCUGGCGGGCUACAGUCCAUGGGGCUGCAGAGUGUCAGACACAACUGAGCCAUUGAGGGAACACACGCACAGAGGGAACCUAGAGAAGAAUAUCAGCUCCAGGCCUGUCUUUGGGAGAUCAAAAGAAGGCAGGCACAACGCUUAAAGGAAUUCUGCCACAAGAGGGAGCAAGAAGACUGGAGCAGGUGUAUCCAUAGCCAGUGUGGAAAAGCCUUAGAAUCCCUACCAAGGCUGAUGGAUGGUAUUUCUCUCUAAACCAGACAGAGAGCAUCUAUUAACAUGGGACUGGUGAGGGAUGAAAGCCAUGUAAAUAGUCUUACUUCUGGAUCAUAUGUGUGUACAUUUGCACUAGGAAGGGCAGUUCCGGUUCCGGAAAGCCAGUGACAUUAUCCUACAGGGAGCACAGAAGCUCCAAGGACACAGCUGAGUUAAGCCUCCCCCCGUGUCCUUCCCUCUGUCGUCCUAGGAGAGCAGAGAAUGACCCUUGGACGGCAGCUUCUGCCUGAUGGCCAAGCUCAGAGCAUAGAUGAAGAUGAGAAAGCAAUUAAUGCAAUUUGUGAAGAUAACAGACCCUCAGGACUAACCCCUGAAACAGUAACACUACUGUGGUGUAUGAAUACAAAAAGUUGCUAAGACGUAUCCAACUCUUUUGCGACCCCAUGAACUGGAGCCUGCCAAGUUCCUU